RNAcentral lists this ribosomal RNA (771 nucleotides) under Salmonella enterica subsp. enterica serovar Heidelberg. RNAcentral's name for it is "partial 23S ribosomal RNA". It matches the Rfam family "Bacterial large subunit ribosomal RNA", at positions 2033 to 2803 of the family's 2925-position model. Lineage: Bacteria; Pseudomonadati; Pseudomonadota; Gammaproteobacteria; Enterobacterales; Enterobacteriaceae. RNAcentral also lists the same sequence under 1 other name. The record is from RNAcentral.
UCAGUGAAAUUGAACUCGCUGUGAAGAUGCAGUGUACCCGCGGCAAGACGGAAAGACCCCGUGAACCUUUACUAUAGCUUGACACUGAACAUUGAGCCUUGAUGUGUAGGAUAGGUGGGAGGCUUUGAAGUGUGGACGCCAGUCUGCAUGGAGCCGACCUUGAAAUACCACCCUUUAAUGUUUGAUGUUCUAACGUGGACCCGUUACCCGGGUUGCGGACAGUGUCUGGUGGGUAGUUUGACUGGGGCGGUCUCCUCCUAAAGAGUAACGGAGGAGCACGAAGGUUGGCUAAUCCUGGUCGGACAUCAGGAGGUUAGUGCAAUGGCAUAAGCCAGCUUGACUGCGAGCGUGACGGCGCGAGCAGGUGCGAAAGCAGGUCAUAGUGAUCCGGUGGUUCUGAAUGGAAGGGCCAUCGCUCAACGGAUAAAAGGUACUCCGGGGAUAACAGGCUGAUACCGCCCAAGAGUUCAUAUCGACGGCGGUGUUUGGCACCUCGAUGUCGGCUCAUCACAUCCUGGGGCUGAAGUAGGUCCCAAGGGUAUGGCUGUUCGCCAUUUAAAGUGGUACGCGAGCUGGGUUUAGAACGUCGUGAGACAGUUCGGUCCCUAUCUGCCGUGGGCGCUGGAGAACUGAGGGGGGCUGCUCCUAGUACGAGAGGACCGGAGUGGACGCAUCACUGGUGUUCGGGUUGUCAUGCCAAUGGCACUGCCCGGUAGCUAAAUGCGGAAGAGAUAAGUGCUGAAAGCAUCUAAGCACGAAACUUGCCCCGAG